UGUAGAUCAAACUAUUUCCAGCAUGGCCAUCGUACAAUGUGACCGGAUCAAUCAACAAUCUAUUAAUUUCUCAUCAAUUGGUAGCUCCGUUGAUAAUGUUAGUAUGACUGAGACUCAAUUCCCACCAUUAUUAGCAUCACAACUUUCUCAGCCUAUAAAUUCCGUGCCAACAAUUGGUAGCUCCGUUGAUAGUGUUAGUA
Molecule: long non-coding RNA, 200 nt
Organism: Zingiber officinale
Lineage: Eukaryota; Viridiplantae; Streptophyta; Magnoliopsida; Zingiberales; Zingiberaceae
Exons: 3
Source: RefSeq, a predicted model, not a curated record